Long non-coding RNA from Mustela lutreola (European mink), 4800 nucleotides. RefSeq lists it as uncharacterized. The record is from RefSeq and is a predicted model, not a curated record. Lineage: Eukaryota; Metazoa; Chordata; Mammalia; Carnivora; Mustelidae. The transcript is spliced from 8 exons.
CGUUGAGAAACACCCAGAAAGCCUUGGCGCGCAGGGGGCUUCCCAAGUGUCCCCACCCACCCCCGGGACUAGGAAGCCGCCGCAGACGACGAGGAGAGUUGUCAGAGAGGCAGUUUCGCAGACAGCCCUCGCCCAGACUUCAAAACAGCCGAGAAUGCCCUUCUCGAGCUCGAAGAAUGCCUGGAAUUCAGUGGCCUUUAUCCAACAUAAAGAUCCCCAACUCGGUGCUGACUUAGUUCCCUAUAGAACCCCGCAGCCUUGAGCACCGACAGCGCCCCGCAUGUUAAAGGGAAGGGGGAGACCCUGGAAGGCUCUCGGGCGCUGGGGACACAGAUCGCGGCUCGGCGGGCAGCUCGGGCCCGCGGGCACGUCCGUGGGUGUGCAGUCCCGGGCUCCCGGCGGUGUGGGGUGUGCAGGCCCCGUGGCUGAGACCCGCCCGAGACUCCGCAGGCGAUCCCCAACUGCUCGCAACUAACCCGCGCCGCCCUCGGCCCCACGGCACCAGCUCCUGGCCCCUUAAAGCUGGCUGCGCCAACAGAAACCAGAGGCCCUUCUAUCCUGGUUCAAGAGAAGCUCAACAGAAAGUGAAACGGUCCCUGUUCCUUGGGGGAGAAGGCGUCAGUCCAGGAAUGGCCUACGGGAUCUGGAAACCCAGCAGCUGGGUCACUCUUCAGAGAGACACUGCGGGUAGCAUUCAGGGAAAAGGAAGCCCCGCCUCGGAGAGGUUCCAGAUCCCCGAGGUCACACAGCUCUGCUGAACUUGGAGGCCAGGCCCGGUCAUUCUCCAAAAAGCCGCCAAAAGCUUUGCUGCUCUAGCUACUGUGCUCCGAGCCUCGACGUUUCCGCCGCGCUCGAAGGAAGCGUUUCGUUCCUAAAAGCCCACGCGCGGAAUCAUCGCUCUAGGAUUCUACAUAAUACUAUCCUAUACCAUUAUGUUGGAAUUUACUGGAAGGACACAUAAAGGAAGACUUGAGAAAACAGUGCGAAGGACAGGUGCGGAAGAAACUUGAUUACCAGCCCCCAGAGGCACGUGGGCAGCCUUUGAAGAUGCUGUCCUCGGCUGACUCACUUGCAGAUGCCUCCAGCCCCCACGUGUUUCUGCUCUAAAUUCAAGCUUCUGAGAGAGAGAAACUGAUUGGCCUGUCUUGGGUCACGGGCCUACCCCUGACUUGACUCAGGGGGUUGGAUCCGGUGAUUGGAAAGCCUGUCGGAAUCAGAUGAGUUAGGAUCAGUCCUGCAGAGUGCUGUUAGCAGGAGGAAGCAGACAGCUUGCAAAACAGGGAGGAAAGAUUUUACAAAAAUUCUCCCCAUUUUAUUUUUUUAAAUAAUAUUUUAUUUAUUUAUUUGACAGAGAUCACAAGUAGGCAGAGAGGCAGGCAGAGAGAGAAGGGGAAGCAGGCUCCCCGCUGAGCAGAGAGCCUGAUGCGGGGCUCGAUCCCAAGACCCCGAGAUUACGACCUGAGCUGAAGGCAGAGGCCCAACCCACUGAGCCACCCAGGCGCCCCCAUUUUAUUGUUUUAAACAUUAUACAAGUUACACAUAAGUAAAUGCACUUGUGAAAAGCCAAAGAAGGAAGACUAGAGAAGAACUCUCCAUCCUGCUCUCGUCCUCAGAGGCUGCGACGCUGUCGGGCAGCAUCUUACCCGCGGCAGAACUUGCAGAAUCGUCGUCGGUCCUCACCCCGCCUGCUGCUGCUCUGCCAGAGGUUUAGAGACCGCUCAUGCAGGCAGGGGGAGAAGCAGGCUCCCCACUGAGCAAGAAGCCUGGUGCAGGACUUGAUCCCAUGAUCGUGACCUGAACAGAAGGCAGAUAUUUAACUGACGGAGCCACCCAGACACUCCAGAAUGGCCUUUCAAGCAGGCAGGAUGACAACUAGGAACACGGAACCUGAACCCAGUGCUUUCUAAGAGUGACGGAACAAUCAGCUGCCUUUUAAGGUCCCCACAGAAGCCUCCAACUGCCCUUCAAGAAAGGACGCCUUUGAUGAAGAGGAUUCUUUCUAGGUCCAGCGGAAGAGAAAAAACAUUCCAGUCGACCUGGCAACACUCAGAAUUGGGCUCUGAGCUCCCACUCUGCGGGGUGAACAGACCAUGUGUGCAGGUGCGUGGAAGCCCGGGGAACCGUCUACGGUGUCACAGGACCAGCUGGUGUGGCACAGGUAUGGGGCCUCCCUCCAGGGCACCCUCCGCUCUCUGGCCUUUUCUGUUUAAAUCAUCUCUCCCUGUCCCCGCACCCCUCCUUGGAUUUGUCCCCCCAACACGUCUGCUUCACAGAUGAGGGAUCUGAAGACCAGGCAGGGAGGCGCAGGGACUUGCCUAAGGUCACACAGCCAUUGAGUAGAGUUUAGGAUCUGAAUCCUGUUUUCCAAUCAAGCACCCUUUCUAGGGCCAGCUAGCGGACAUUUGAGAAAUCUGCCAUUGUAGAAACCAAGGCAGCAAAGGCAGAGGGGCCUAGGAACUCGGAAAUAAUCCCUGGAUCCAGCAAAAACGAAGGAAGUAGACCGUGCUGGAUGUGGCUGCCGAGAUCUCGGUGUGAGGAGAGUAAAGAUGGCCAGAACGGUUUGGGGGAAACUAGGCAGAAUAUGCUUUACAAAUAAGUAUUACUUUUCUUCCUUAAAAAGUUAAAAAUAGAAUCACCUUGUGAUCCAGCAACCCCAUUUCUGGGUAUAUACCCCCAAAGAAGAAAAACAGUCCGAGCUAUUUGUUUACCCAAACUGUUUGUCUCCCCCGCCCCUGAAGCCCCAUUCAUAUCUUAAAGCCCUAAUGCCCAGUACUCCAUCCGGAAACAAGGCCUUUAAAGAGGUAAUUAAGGUGAAGUGAGAUCAUUGGGAGAGGCUCCAAUCCAGUAUGACUGGUGCCCUUAAAAGAAUGGUGCAGCCUCUUUGGAGAACAGUGUGGAGAUUCCUCAAGAAAUUAAAAAUAGAGCUUCCCUAUGACCCAGCAAUUACACUCCUGGGUAUUUACCCCAAAGAUACAGAUGUUGUGAAAAGAAGGGCCAUGUGGACCCCAAUGUUCAUAGCAGCAAUGGCCACCGUCGCCAAACUAUGGAAAGAACCAAGAUGCCCUUCAGCGGACGAAUGGAUAAGGAAGAUGUGGUCCAUAUACACUAUGGAGUAUUAUGCCUCCAUCAGAAAGGACGAAUACCCAACUUUUGUAGCCACAUGGACGGGACUGGAAGAGAUUAUGCUGAGUGAAAUAAGUCAAGCAGAGAGAGUCAAUUAUCAUAUGGUUUCACUUAUUUGUGGGGCAUAACAAAUAGCAUGGAGGACAAGGGGUGUUAGAGAGGAGAAGGGAGUUUGGGGAAAUUGGAUGGGGAGGUGAAUUAUGAGAGACUAUGGACUCUGAAAAACAAUCUGAGGGGUCUGAAGUGGCGGGAGUGUGGGAGGUUGGGGUACCAUGUGGUGGUUAUUAUAGAGGGCACUGAUUGCAUGGAGCACUGGGUGUGGUGCAAAAAUAAUGAAUACUGUUUUUCUGAAAGUAAAUAAAUUGAAAAAAAAAAAAAAAAAAAGAAUGGGAGCGGGGAAUGCCUGCGUGGUUCAUUUGGUCACGCAUCUGACUCUGUUUCAGCUCAGGUCAUGAUCUCGGGGUGCUGAGAUCGAGCCCCACACUGGGCUCUGUGCUCAAUGUGGAGUCUGCUUCUCCUACUCCCUCUGUUGCUCCCCCCUGCUCCCCCUCAUAAACAAAUACAAUACUUUAAGGGUUUUGGACAAAGACAUGAACAAAGAUGGGGUGAAGACCGGGGAGAAGACAGCCAAGGAGGGAGGCCUCAGGAGAAACCAACCCUGCCUCCCCCUUGAUCUUGGACUCGUGGCCCCAGAACAGGGAGAUAACACGUUGCUGUUGUUCAAGUGGCUUCGUCUCUGGCACUUCCUUAGGGCCGCCUUAGCAGAGGGACACACCCACAUCCACAGCCUCACUCCCGGUGGCCAAGGGAGGGAAGCAGCCGGGAUCCCCACUGACGGAUGAGCAGAUACACAGAACUGACGCGCACAACGCAGCACUAUUCAGCCUUAGAAAGGAAGCCAGUUCCACGCAGCACGAUUCAGCCUUGGAAAGCAAGCCAGUUCCGCCACACGUUAACGACAGACUCUGGAGGACUUUGUGCUACGUGGAAUCAGCCAGACCUUAAAGGACAAAUUCUGUGUAAUUCUACUUCCAUCAAAUUCACAGAGGCAGACACGGGAAUGAAUGGAGGUUGCCAGGGGCAGAGGGUGGGGGAUGGGGGCAGAGUUUCAGUUCUGUGAGAUGAAGCGUUCUGGAGCCCCCGGAGCUCACUUGCACAAUAAUGUGAGUGCACAUGACACUAUCAAACUGUACACUUACGAACGGUGAAAGUGGGAAUUUUGUUUUGUUUUAAGAGAGAGCAAGCAAGAGCAGGGGGGAGGGGAAGACUCCCCACUGAGCAGAGAGCCGGAUGCGGGGCUCGAUUCCAGGACCCUGGGAUCAGGACCUGAGCCAAAGGCAGAGGCUUUACCAACUGAGCCACCCAGGUACCCCUGUUAAUAUGAAUUUUACCACAAUAAAAAGAGAAUAGUAUUGGGGAGUGCUAUGAAGUGUGUAAACCUGGCGAUUCACAGACCUGUACCCCUGGGGCUAAUAAUACAUUAUAUGUUAAUAAAAAAUAAAAAAAAAUUAAAAGAACAGUAUUGAACAAUCAUUAUUUAAGCUUCUAACAUUUUAAUUAAAAGAAAUGACCUAUGAAAGAACUCAGUAAUAUCUAGGACUAUAGCCCUGUGCCAGUCCUCAGGCACGGAUCCUGACUCGCAUUCAGUGUAUUCUGGAUACCUGACACGAACACGUC